UUACUCCCAUGUCACCCUCCCCCCACGCACAGGCCUGUUACAGCCGGAGGGACGCACAGCCUACUGCGGAGGGUCUGCUGGGGGAGCCCACACCGCCCCUCCCCCGCACACGCACAGAGGUCUUCCUGAAGAGCUCGGCGUACCCACAGUCGGAGAAGAGUCGUUUUCAGAGGCUCUGUCGAACAUGUAAUCCUCAUGCAAGUAUUUCUAUAAUUAUCCUGUUUCCGUUAUAACACUGUUUCAGGAACAAUGGCACUUUUAUUCUAUUGCCAUGUCGGUAUAAUGGAUGUUUUAUUACAGAAGAUUAUGGGAGAGUCGCUUUUAUGAUUCCGAAGUUUUCAUUGCAAAUUGCUCCUAGGCCGGAAAUUCUUUCUCCUGAGUAGUUUUUAGUUUGAUGCUGUUUUGGGGUUUUGGGGGGGCGGCACUGUUGAACUUGGGUCUGUGAGACUUUGCCCAACGAGAGUGUUUCCUUCGCUCCAUGCACCCUGUGGCUGGGCCCGCCCCCUGGUGUUUGUUCACAUGUUUUUGGCACGUGGCAAACACAGCUUUUUAAAAGUCAGUCUGGAUUGUUCUCUCCGAAUCUGCAUGCAGCAGUCUGCUCAGUGGCCGUAACAACAACCACGGAUCUCGGGGUCAGACGACCGACGAUUGGUCGGGGUUUCGGAGGCUGGGCGUGGAGAUCAGCCUGCUGACGGUGCCGGGUCCCACCCCGAGGCCUCUCUCCUGGUCUGCGGACGCUGCUGUGUCGUCCUUCCCGUGUGCGAGGGGAGCAGUGAAGGCAGGCCUUCAGCCCGUGAAUUUGGGGGGCGCAUGAUGCAGUCCCUGGCACUGCAUAACUUUUAUGACCUUUGCUGGAGAAAGUUCCAGAGCACCUGCAGUCCCUGAAGUUGGUGACCUUCAUUUAAGAAGUCAGUAGUAGCAGAGUGACAACAGAGAACUUGAACCUUCAUGCACAGUCUGAUGAAGUCCCAUCCCAUUUCGGAUGGCAGACCCCCCCCCCCCCGGGUGGAGGGGGGACGUGGGGGCUGGGGUUGUUCUUGGUUGAUGCACUGGCCUCAGAGCCCCGGCCGAGGUGGGCCCAGCCGGGCCUUUCAUUGCGGCCUUCCGUUCUCUCCACCUACAGAAGCACAGACCUGUCUACAAGACAGAGAAAAGGCCCAUCUUGAGUGAGCCUCCUUCCAGGUCUGUCGGUGCAGGACCCAACGCCGUGUCCCCCGAUGGUCCACGCCUCGGGAGGCCCGGGGCGGCUUUCGGAGGCCGCCCGCUCCAGAAGAUGGCUUCUGGGGGAGGUGGGCCGGGACAGUGUCGCUACAGCCACGCAGGGAACGGGACAGGCGGGCUGAGGGGCGCCGUUCAAAGGACGUUUUGGAGUGAUUUGCAACACCUCGGACAGAAAUAUAAAACAACUUCUUUCACCCUCGGCAGAGUCUGGUGCUCAGUUCACACCUUUUUCAUUUUUUUAAUUCUUCCCAUCACUUCAAAUACAAAUUUCGCCCUUAUUACUUUCCUUUCCAAACUUCACUCAAAAUAGCGUCUUCUCACGCACACGCGAAUCACGGGGCGUGCACCGGCGUCGGGGCCAGAGGGGGCCUGAGCCGCCACCGCACCCGGCCGAAAGCCUGGUCCGCCGCAACGGCGCCUUUUACCGCAGGAGCCAUGUGGACAGUUCCCGACUCGCUCUGCGGUCACUUGGUGGAGGACCCACGAGGCCCGAAACGUGGUGCUUUAUUCCAGGCUCACGGGUGGCCCAGAUUCCUCCUGCCAACGCCUGUCGAGGACGUCUCCCUGGAGCACAAGCCGGGAGAGGAACUGCUCCUGGGCCCACUUCGCUCUGGCCCUGCGGUCCCCGCAACCUCCCCGCGCCCCGCCCCCAGCACCACGCGCGGAAUUUCGGUCUUGACGGCCGCGCUCCGGACGCGCGUGCGGAAGCUACCACUAGGGGGUGCUAGAGGUCAGGGAAUCCCGGACCGUGUCCCAGCGGAGCUCUGCGGUUUGAACGAUUGAAGCGUCCCACCUGGUGAGCGCUGCCCCCUGGGAAUCACCCACGGCCUUCGUUAGGUCUUCCCCGAUGCUGUUGUUCUGUGGCUGUCCCCUGUGAUGGCAUGGGAUCCCAGGACCCGCCACAGGCUCCGGGACCCAGGUCUGCAGGAAUGACACCAUGUAUCUGAAAUGCUUGGUGCCCUUUUGGGGCAGACAGGGGCAGACACCUCGCUCGUCUGUGUUUUUCAGGGAAGUUGGGUCUGGAGACACCAGCGUAACCUGGCUCUUCUCCCUAAGCUGAGGCUGGGGGAAAUAUGGGAGCUGAUGCAGCUCGUUUGCAAGUUGGUCUCAGGAACCAGGGACGGUGGUGGAGAGGGACAAGCCAGCACCAGCCUGGGUGUGCGGUCCAGGUGGGCGGGUCACUGACAAGGUGACGCCAGGCAGCUCAAGUCCGUGGGGACUUCCGGGACAUCUUGCCUGUCCCCCACCGCUGAGAGUCCCCGGCACAGGGUGUCCCUGGCCCCCCAGGCUGCGAGGACAGGGCACAUAGCCCCAUCCAGGGGGCGAGCGGGGUGGUCAGACUGCUCGGGGGGCCUCCUGUGGCAGAACAAGGCCAAAGAAGGGGGCACGGCAUGUGGAAGACACAUGCCUGCGGAGCUGGGCACCUCGCUUCAUCCGAAAAGGCCACUUCUUAUGAGAGACAGGUGUGCAGCUCGGAGGGCCCGGCCUCUGCCCUCCACGGUGCGUGGAGAUGCCUUGUGCCCCACAAAGCUGCCCCCGCUGCUCUCAGGCCGAUGGACACAGCAGCGGCCGGCCCGAUUGUCAGCCUCUGGUCCCCCGGCCUCUCACGGCCCGUGUGAUGGCCUGGCGGGCUCGUCAGCGCGGCACGAAAGGGCGGGCUCAGCCGGUUUCCAGCCUCCCUGCACCCCCACGCCGGCCCUGCACCCCUUUCCACUGCCAGGCUCCCUGCCCUGCGGACCUCUGUGGAUCUCGGGACGCCUCACAGCCGUGUCCCGGGUUUGGCAAGGCCCCGUGGGUAUGUGACCAAGGCCAUCGGAGUCCCCAGGCACCGAAAGUCACCACAGGUCCAUGGAGCAGGGGUGUCUCCUCCCUGAGGGACAGCCGGCCAGACGUCCUGAGCUCUGUGUCCACAGAAUGAACAGAAGUCAGAGCAGUGGAAAGAAUGAACCGCUGAAACAAACAAAUUUGCCCUCCACCUGUUUAUGGCACCUGUGUAUGAGGGAAGCCUUGCAAAGGCGGGGGUCUGUCGUUGGGCACGAGAACGGCAUCAGUUCCAGAGGGAUGACGGGGACACACUUUUCUGACUUAUGGUCAGAAACAGAACACAUGGCAGUGGCAGGACAUCAAGCGUCUGUGGACCCAUUUCGGACGACAGGACAGGCCGGGUCUGCCUCGGGCGGGCCUGGUGUCUGGACUUCAGACCCAAGUGGAUAAAGGGCCGGGCCGACGGGUGUUUGGGAGGAAAUCUAAUGCCUUUCUGUGGACUCUGCAAGUGACGUGUGUGGUGUAGGACCUCGGAGAGUGUCUGCGUGUGAGAAAGAAGCAGGAUUCACCAGCAGCCUGGCCCGUGGAGGUGGGCGGAGCUUACCUGGGCAGGUGAGGCUUGGCUACAGAAUCAGGUGCCCACCUGGUCCUGCCCCACCCCAGUCACCUGCUCGCUGCUGCCACCCUGUGCUCGGUCGGCCCCUUUCCUGCUUUUAGAUACUUGUCCCCCACCCCCGGGGAAGGGGCAGAGACUGGCGCCCUGGGAAGUGCUGGGUGUCGCUGUUCGAGGAGGCCACACGGAGCUGUGGGCUGUGGCGUCACCCCCACCGACACCCAGAGCCGCCCCGUGCUGACCCAGGUCAGUGGCAGCCCACAGACGCCCCUCCCCCCGGUUCCACAUUCCACGCAUCCCAGUGUCUCCAGGCUGAACCCCGUGUCCAGAGAGUGGCCGGGACCCAGGAGCGGUGUCCAAGCUCCCACAGAGGGUUGAACUGAAGCCGAACCCUCAUCCCCAGCAGCGCCCUCCCUCCCGGGCACCGGAGUCACUGCAGGACCAUGGCCGGCUUCUGGGUGCCGCACACUGAGAGGCCACACCCUGUCCUGGGGAGAGGAAGGGGCAGCCCUGCUGCUGGAACCUGGACCCAAUGAAAGCACAGCCUUAAAAAAUGCUGCCGCUUCGUACCCAGCAAGUUCACUCUGAGAUGGACCCCAAGGACCACGCGUCACGGCCUUUGCAGGGCUCGGGGUUGUGCACUGAACCCAGAGGUCACCGGGUUCGGUUCCUGGACAGGGUACACGCCCGGGAUGUGAGUUGAGCCUCCAUCUGGGACACAUUCGGGAGGCAG
This is a long non-coding RNA of Artibeus jamaicensis (Jamaican fruit-eating bat), 4331 nucleotides long. RefSeq lists it as uncharacterized. The transcript has 3 exons. The record is from RefSeq and is a predicted model, not a curated record. Lineage: Eukaryota; Metazoa; Chordata; Mammalia; Chiroptera; Phyllostomidae.